RNAcentral lists this ribosomal RNA (794 nucleotides) under uncultured bacterium. RNAcentral's name for it is "bacterial SSU rRNA". It matches the Rfam family "Bacterial small subunit ribosomal RNA", at positions 68 to 869 of the family's 1533-position model. The record is from RNAcentral.
GCAGAUUGGCCGCAAGGCUGGUCUGAGUGGCGAAUGGGUGCGUAACACGUAGGUGACCUGCCCGGAAGUGGGGAAUAACAGUCCGAAAGGACUGCUAGUACCGCAUACGGUGCGCUGGGUUUGAGACCGGCGUUCCAAAGGUUUUCGCGAGAAAGCCGCUUUCGGAGGGGCCUGCGGCCCAUCAGCUAGUUGGUAGGGUAAUGGCCUACCAAGGCGACGACGGGUAGGGGACCUGAGAGGGUGACCCCCCACACUGGCACUGACACACGGGCCAGACUCCUACGGGAGGCAGCAGUCGGGAAUAUUGCCCAAUGGACGAAAGUCUGAGGCAGCAACGCCGCGUGCGCGAUGAAGGCCUUCGGGUCGUAAAGCGCUUUUCGGGUGGAUGAGAGAGGACAGUACACCCGGAAUCAGGAACGGCUAACUACGUGCCAGCAGCCGCGGUAAAACGUAGGUUCCGAGCGUUAUCCGGAUUUACUGGGCGUAAAGCGCGUUCAGGCGGUUGGACAAGUCGGGCAUGAAAUCUCUGGGCUCAACCUAGAGAGGUUGUCCGAUACUGUCUGACUUGAGGGCAGUAGAGGGUGGUGGAAUUCCGGGUGUAGUGGUGGAAUGCGUAGAGAUCCGGAGGAACACCAGUGGCGAAAGCGGCCACCUGGACUGUACCUGACGCUGAAACGCGAAAGCUAGGGGAGCGAACGAGAUUAGAAACCCCGGUAGUCCUAGCUAUAAACGAUGUUGACUAGGUGUCGGCGGUCUAAACCCUGCCGGUGCCGGAGCAAACGCAUUAAGUCAAC